RNAcentral lists this ribosomal RNA (376 nucleotides) under uncultured bacterium. Its description in RNAcentral is "bacterial SSU rRNA". It matches the Rfam family "Bacterial small subunit ribosomal RNA", at positions 521 to 895 of the family's 1533-position model. The record is from RNAcentral.
UAAUACGGGGGGGGCAAGCGUUGUUCGGAAUUACUGGGCGUAAAGGGUUCGUAGGUGGCUUGCUAAGUCAGACGUGAAAUCCCUCAGCUUAACUGGGGAACUGCGUCUGAGACUGGCGAGCUUGAGUGCAGGAGAGGAACGCGGAAUUCCAGGUGUAGCGGUGAAAUGCGUAGAUAUCUGGAGGAACACCGGUGGCGAAGGCGGCGUUCUGGACUGCAACUGACACUGAGGAACGAAAGCCAGGGGAGCAAACGGGAUUAGAUACCCCGGUAGUCCUGGCCCUAAACGAUGAAUGCUUGGUGUGGCGGGUAUCGAUCCCCGCUGUGCCGAAGUUAACGCGUUAAGCAUUCCGCCUGGGGAGUACGGUCGCAAGGCU